AUGGCUGCAGGUGGGGCUUUUCUUCUUGCUUUUUCUGUUUUUUCCAUGCUGGUUAUGUCUUCCCUGGGGGGCCUAGGCCUUUAUGCAGCGACUACGAGACGCUAUGUCGUACCAACUGCCAUGCAGAGGUUGAAACCCUCUGCGGCAGUACCUGCGACUACAACAACAGCGGUCAGGCGGACUGCCGGCGUCAGAUCUUCAAGAGGUGCACCACAGAAGGUACCUGCUGCAGUAGCAACGGCACAUGCACUUGUGAUUGCAACACUGUAG
Molecule: ribosomal RNA, 270 nt
Filed under: Triticum aestivum (bread wheat)
Lineage: Eukaryota; Viridiplantae; Streptophyta; Magnoliopsida; Poales; Poaceae
Description: partial small subunit ribosomal RNA
Source: RNAcentral